RNAcentral lists this ribosomal RNA (490 nucleotides) under uncultured bacterium. RNAcentral's name for it is "partial 16S ribosomal RNA". It matches the Rfam family "Bacterial small subunit ribosomal RNA", at positions 30 to 507 of the family's 1533-position model. The record is from RNAcentral.
AUUGAACGCUGGCGGCAGGCCUAACACAUGCAAGUCGAACGGUAACAGGAAGCAGCUUGCUGCUUUGCUGACGAGUGGCGGACGGGUGAGUAAUGUCUGGGGAACUGCCUGAUGGAGGGGGAUAACUACUGGAAACGGUAGCUAAUACCGCAUAACGUCGCAAGACCAAAGAGGGGGACCUUCGGGCCUCUUGCCAUCGGAUGUGCCCAGAUGGGAUUAGCUAGUAGGUGGGGUAACGGCUCACCUAGGCGACGAUCCCUAGCUGGUCUGAGAGGAUGACCAGCCACACUGGAACUGAGACACGGUCCAGACUCCUACGGGAGGCAGCAGUGGGGAAUAUUGCACAAUGGGCGCAAGCCUGAUGCAGCCAUGCCGCGUGUAUGAAGAAGGCCUUCGGGUUGUAAAGUACUUUCAGCGGGGAGGAAGGGAGUAAAGUUAAUACCUUUGCUCAUUGACGUUACCCGCAGAAGAAGCACCGGCUAACUCCGUG